CCUCAGUUUUUUUAUUUCAUUUCCCGCUUUUCCCCUUUUCCAAAUUGUUAAAUCCUAAAUGAGGCCUCCCUUUUCCUAUUGAGCUAGGGGUAGUCUAAGCCUCAACAGAAAGAACACAAAUACAAUCAAUAAUCAUACACGAUUCAACUUCAUUUUUUCAAUUGUUCAUCAUCUCUUCCCCUACAUCCAGAUUCUCCCCAUUGUUCUAGUUCGACUGAACCAAGUUGUCACUCUAAUCUGCGUCUGUGAAUCCAUCCGCCUAAAAUCAAAUUGUCGUUCGACUGUUCAAUCAAUUUCCCGUCUAUCGACCGCCAUCUGUUCGAUUAUUCUAGUUUCAUUGAUACCAAACAAGCGUAUAUGGGUCUGUUACUAUGCUUACAAUUUUGACUUUAUGUAGAGAUCUCGUGAUUUAAGUUACUAGCUUCUUAUUCCAACUCUCGUUUACGCCUCUGAUAACAAGGUACUAGCUUCUUGCUUCAAGUUUUAUCCCCUAUAAUUCCAUAAGAUACUCCUUUUAUUCUGAAUUUAAGUUCUAGCUUCUUACAUUAUUUUUUAAUCUAGGAUCUAUGUUAUAGAUUAGGUAGCACCAUUCAAUCUUUCAGCUUCUGGGAUGGGCUUCCAAGUUCUAUGAAGCAAACCACUGUUCAAUUUUGGGUAUUCUUUUUGAAAAUUGGAUCCUAAAUAUGAGAAUGAAGCAACAUAUUUGAGUUACUUGUUUGUUGUGGGAAUCAAUCAACUUGAUUAUAUGCCAUUGUAGUUGUGUCGAGAUUCUGAGGUUAUAUGUCAUAUGAUUAUAAAUCAACUGCUUCCUGAUUACUUCUUGUUGAGCUUCUGAAGUUAUAUGUCAUAUGAUUUCAACAGUUCUAAUAUUGAUUUAGGUUCCGAUACUACAUAUGCUUCCCUUAGUUAACUUAUUAUUCAAAAAAUCUAAUAUCCUAAGAGACUGUCUAGUAGGUGCUCUAAUACCAGUUGACAAACAUAUAAGCUUGGAAUGUUCCAAUUUAGUUGAUUAUUAAAGGCCUAAAUAGUUCAAUGAUGCAGUCUUUGUUAACGGGACAUGUUUGAAAUGUUGUUGAUUUUUUGUAGUGGAACUUGUUUGAAUUUAUGUUGUUUAUGCUUUAUUUUAUUUACUUUUUAUGUUGUGAUCAUUUGCUCACCUGAUGUAUGUAUAUUCUUAGUUAGAAUACUAAUUCAUGUAAAGAAAUCAACGAAUUAUGAAUUUAUACUCAUCCUCGAAUGUUGUGGUUAUGUUGAUCUUAUGACAACUUGUUGUAAGGAGGGGUAAUUAUGUCUUUCUUUCUAUUUCUUUUGUUUUAUUUGAUUUUCAUAUGUUUGAAUAUCUGAUGGCAGUGGGAAGGCAAAACAGGAAAUCUGCAGAGGCUUUUGCUAAAAAUGAUGGCAAAGGUUUGUAUUGUUUGCCAUCAAAUUUCACUCCAUGAAUAUUGUUUUAAUUGUUUUUAGUUUUUUUAUAUAUAGUUUUCAUGUUCAUUCGAUGAGCUUGAAGCAUAGAUGUUGCAAGGACAUAAAUUAUAGGUAUUUUUAGUUAUACUACAAAAGUGCAAAGAUAACAAGUUCAAAAGAGGACACCAAACUAAGAAUUUCAUCUACACCAAAUAAAAAAAUUUACAAAAAUGAUGAAUUUUUUUUGUAUGUGAACGAUUUGUUAUUAUUAAAUUAUGAAUUGGAGAUAAUGGUUUCACUUUUUUGGCUUUUAGUAUUUGCAUGUCUUGUUUCUAUUUCAUGUAAAAGAUCUACACUUCUUUUUAUGUUAUGUUUAUUGGUGAUAUUUCUAUAUCCUUUUAUAUGAUGUAUUAUGGUUAAUAUGAUAGGUAAAAUCAGAAGUUUGAUAAACAAGAGGAGCAAUUAUAAGAAGUUCAAGGUCAAUGAAGUUUCAUGUUUCUUCCCCAACACAUAUCAAGUUUGAUAGUAUUAUGGUUUAAGUACUAGCACAACAUUUAGACUUAUUAAACUUUUGAGAAGAUGCUUGUAUUUUAACUAUAUUGAGAAUGUUGUUCUUAAACAAGUUUAAAAUGAUGUAAUGAUAUUGUGUUUUCAUUUAUUAUCUUAGUUAUCUUAUUAUUA
RNAcentral lists this long non-coding RNA (2082 nucleotides) under Lactuca sativa (garden lettuce). RNAcentral describes it as "long non-coding RNA (LSAT_LNC007516)". Lineage: Eukaryota; Viridiplantae; Streptophyta; Magnoliopsida; Asterales; Asteraceae. The record is from RNAcentral.